Molecule: non-coding RNA, 3427 nt
Organism: Rattus norvegicus (Norway rat)
Lineage: Eukaryota; Metazoa; Chordata; Mammalia; Rodentia; Muridae
Source: RefSeq, a predicted model, not a curated record
AAGUUGCUGCGCCUCGGGGCGGACCCCAACUUAGUGCUGGACGAUGGCGCGGCGGCGGUGCACCUGGCGGCCAGAGCGAGCCACCCACGCGCCCUGCAUUGCCUUAGAAUGCUUCUGCGCUGGGGCGCGGACCCCAAUGCUCGGUGAGGCGCGGCCCGUGUCACUGGGUAAGGUGGGUGUGACUCAGGGAACCAGCAGUGCUCGGCGUCAGGCUCCCGGGUCCGAGGCUUUCGGAUCUAGGAGAUGGAGAUGUCUGCUUCCAAGGUCGGUGGGGAAAAGGUGUCGCAUACCUGUCAUUCCGGCACUCCUGAGACUGAGGCAGGAGAAUGACCGUCUGCGGAGGCGCUGACGCCCGUGCAUGUGGCUGCUGCGUGGGGCUGUUGCAGUGCCUUGGAGUUGCUGCUGAGCAGAGGGGGUGACCCCACACUGCGGGACCAGGUCAGUACCCCCGCGCAGGAACACAUAGGUGGUUGGAGGGUGGGCAUGUGCGCCCCCUGCUGACUGUGACUGCACAGGACGGGCUCAGGCCCUUGGACUGGGCACUACAGCAGCAACAUCACAACUGCGCACGCGUGCUGCGGGAGCUGGACACGCCCACCCGAAAGCCGAAUGAGACCCCAAAGCCCACAGGUGAGAGGAGCUGAGGGGAUGCACCGGGCUACCACACUGCGGGGUCCAGUUUUGUAUGUAAAUCUAUCAUGUCAAUCACUACCUGUGGUCUUAUCAGUCACAUGGCUAUCAUGUCAAUCACCUGUCAAUCAUCUGUCACCUAUAUCAUUUAUCAUGUCCAUAUCUUAUCUGUUUAUAUCUGUGCUUUAUCUGAUUACUUAUUCAUACAUUUAUACAUUAGAGAGGUUUCAUGUAGCCCAGGGUAGCCUUGAAACCAACACAUGCCAAGGACCUGAUUUAGCAGGGUCUCCUGGAGCCUCGCAGGACUCGGAGUUGCACAUGCAUAGAGCUGAGCUGGAAGUGGAGGCCGUGGAGGUGGCUGUGCAGCCCCAGAGCCCUGAGGCUACUGAGAGCUCGGACUACAGCAGCGAUGCCUCAUUUGUCACCGCAGUGGAGGACUCUCUGCAGCCCAGGCGCCCUGGGGGGAUAUGCGAGCUCAUGGCCAGCCUGUGGGUAACCCGUGGGGCCGCAUCAGCUGGGGAGGGGGCACCCAACUGCCAGUCACAGGCCCUGACGUUGACCGAAAAGUCCACGGACAAACCCUUACUGCUUGGUGAUGGGGAUCUGGGAGCCUUGCACCCCCAUGGCUCCGUUCCCCCAAUGUCCGACCUGCAGCUCCUUCAGGCCCUUCGGGCUCUGGGCUAUAGCCCUGGACCUGUCACACCUUUCACCCGAGGACACUACCUGCGGCGGCUGCAGGAAGCCCAGGCUAGCCCUGGGCAUAGCCCAGAACUGGCAGAGGCACUAAGGACUGGUACGGUCCCUGACUGCCAGGUGGAUGAGGCAGCCCUGGCUCAGCACUUUCAGCGGCCGGAUCCAUCGAGGAAGUGGCGGGAAGGCAUUACAAAGUCUAGUUUUACAUAUCUACUUCUCGACCCCAGGCUGACGAAGGACCUGCCUGCCCGAGCCUCUUCCCUCACACUGGCCCAGUGUCUGCAAUGUUUUGUGCGAGCCAUCUUCUAUGUGGGCAAGGGGACCCGUGCCCGGCCAGAUGCCCACCUCUGGGAAGCCCGUGGCUACCAUGACCAGCCAAGGAAACAGGUCUGUCCCAAGAUCCGCCGGAUCUUAGACAUCUGGGAUAGUGGCCGGGGCAUCAUCUCUCUACACUGCUUCCAGCAUGUGGUGGCCGUGGAGGCAUACACGCGGGAGGCUUGCCUGUUGGAUGCCCUAGGUCUCCAGACACUGACCAAUCAGAAACAGGGGCACUACUAUGGAGUAGUUGCCCAUUGGCCACUUCCUCGGCGUCGGCGAUUGGGCGUAUACCUGCUACAGCGUGCUCUGCUGGUCUUCCUGGCUGAGGGGGAGAGAGAGCUGAGGCCACAGGACAUUCAGGCUCGAGGCUGAGUGCUGAGGAUGUGACUGAAUCCUGAGCCAUCAAGGAAAGCGCUCAGCAGGAUCUGUGAGCACACCAGGAAGUCCUAUUUGCUAUCUACUCUUCAGUCCCACCCAGGAGGAUGCCCAAGAUGGCCUGUCACGUCCCAAGGAUGCCAGGGAAACUCUGCCCUCCUCGCCCAGAAGGCUGCCCACCUGUCUUGGGCCACAUCUCCCUGGAAGCCCCACUGAGAAAGAACAGUCCCUCUCCAGGUGCUCAGACAAAGGCCAGAUAACAUGCCCACAGGAAGCACAACCAUCCAAGGCCACACUAUCCAGCUGGAAGUCCCACUGAGAACAGUCAGUCCCUCUUCAGAGUGCCCAGGUGACUGCCCUGUCCUGGCAAAGGCCAUUCACCCAUUGACUAUGCCCAUUCAUAAACUGUACCUGCAUAAAUUGAGCCCAAUGAAGCUCGCUGCCCAGAAACCAUGCUCAUCCAUAAAUGAAGAGUGGAGGAGACCUUGUCCCCUGGAUUCUUCACACACUUCAGGCCAUGACUUCUGGCUGCUAUGUCUCGGGCUCUCCUGGCUGCUGCUUCAUCAGGGGUGGCUUCAAAAAACCAGCAAAACCGUCGCAAGUGCUAGUGAAGGCUAAUUGUGAUCCUAGGCCAUCUCUCCCCCUAACCCCCACCACACACACACCCUCUAAAAAACCCAAGCUUUCUCUGUGUAACCCUGGCUGUCCUGGAACUCAGUCUGCCUCCUGAGUGCUGGGAUUAAAGGCAUGCACUCCUGGCUCCAGCUCAAUUGUGGUUUUAAAGAUUUAUUUAUUUAUUUUCUAUGAAUGAAUACACUGUAGCUGUCUACAGACAAAUCCAGAAGAGGGCAUCAGAUCCCAUUACAGAUGGUUGCGACCCACAAUGUGGGUGCUGGGAAUUGAACUGGGUCCUCUGGAAAAGCAGUCAGUGCUCUUAACCACUGAGCCAUCUCUCCAGCCCAUUGAGCCAUCUCUGCAGCGCCAGCUCAAUUUUUUUUUUUUUUUUCUCAGAGCUGGGGACUGAACCCAGGGCCUUGCGCUUGCUAGGCAAGCGCUCUACCACUGAGCUAAAUCCCCAACCCCACUGAGCUAAAUCCCCAACUCCUCAAAUUUUUUUAAAAAGAUGUAUUUAUGAGUUUCCCAGGGCGGAUGCCCCUGCGCUUAGCGGCCUGGGCGGGCUGAGAGGCGUGGGUUGAGUAGUCUCGUUCCAAGUUUGGAGAGAGGAGAGGUCUCAGACCUUGCUACCCUCAAGCCGCUAGCCGGGAGGAGGGAGAAGAGAUCGCAGCGUCAGGGGAGAACCCAGACAGCCAGACAGAGCUCAGGCUUUCUGAACUAGGAUUGUAUGAUGUGCCUGGGAAAGGUAGGAGCGACUGCGACCGGGCUGCUCUUGACUAGCGAGGGAAGUCGGAGG